GAUGAACGCUGGCGGCGUGCCUAACACAUGCAAGUCGAGCGGACAGACGAGGAUCUUGCUGCUCUCACGUUAGCGGCGGGCGGGUGAGUAACACGUGGAUACCCUACCUAUAAGACUGAGAUAACUACGGGAAAGCGGAUCUAAUACGGGAUAAUAUAUUGAACCGCGGGGUUCAUUAGUGAAAGACGGUUUUGCUGGCACUAAUAGAGGGUUCCGCGCCGGAUUGGCUAGUUGGUAAGGUAACGGCUUACCAAGGGAACGAUGCGUAGCCGGCCUGAGAGGGUGGUCGGCCACACUGGAACUGAGACACGGCCCAGACUCCUACGGGAGGCAGCAGUAGGGAAUCUUGGGCAAUGGGCGAAAGCCUGACGGAGCAACGCCGCGUGAGUGAUGAAGGUCUUCGGGUCGUAAAGCUCUGUUAUCGGGGAAGAAAAAGUGUGUGAGUAUCUAGGCGCGUGAUGACGGUACCUGAUCAAAAAGCCACGGCUAACUACGUG
RNAcentral lists this ribosomal RNA (497 nucleotides) under uncultured bacterium. RNAcentral's name for it is "partial 16S ribosomal RNA". It matches the Rfam family "Bacterial small subunit ribosomal RNA", at positions 28 to 507 of the family's 1533-position model. The record is from RNAcentral.